Molecule: transfer RNA, 76 nt
Filed under: Burkholderia sp. R-69980
Lineage: Bacteria; Pseudomonadati; Pseudomonadota; Betaproteobacteria; Burkholderiales; Burkholderiaceae
Description: tRNA-Lys
Rfam family: tRNA
About the family: Transfer RNA (tRNA) molecules are approximately 80 nucleotides in length. Their secondary structure includes four short double-helical elements and three loops (D, anti-codon, and T loops).
Source: RNAcentral
GGGUCGUUAGCUCAGCUGGUAGAGCAGCGGACUUUUAAUCCGUCGGUCGGCGGUUCGAAUCCGCCACGGCCUACCA